UACGUAGGGGGCUAGCGUUGUCCGGAUUUAUUGGGCGUAAAGAGCUCGUAGGCUGUUCGAUAAGUCGGGUGUGAAACCUCCAGGCUCAACCUGGAGACGCCACCCGAUACUGUCAUGACUAGAGUCCGGUAGGGGAGCGUGGAAUUCCUGGUGUAGCGGUGAAAUGCGCAGAUAUCAGGAGGAACACCAGCGGCGAAGGCGGCGCUCUGGGCCGGUACUGACGCUGAGGAGCGAAAGCGUGGGUAGCAAACAGG
Molecule: ribosomal RNA, 254 nt
Filed under: uncultured bacterium
Lineage: Bacteria
Description: partial 16S ribosomal RNA
Rfam family: Bacterial small subunit ribosomal RNA
Source: RNAcentral